Molecule: ribosomal RNA, 508 nt
Filed under: uncultured bacterium
Lineage: Bacteria
Description: partial 16S ribosomal RNA
Rfam family: Bacterial small subunit ribosomal RNA
Source: RNAcentral
GAUGAACGCUAGCUACAGGCUUAACACAUGCAAGUCGAGGGGAAACGACAUCGAAAGCUUGCUUUUGAUGGGCGUCGACCGGCGCACGGGUGAGUAACGCGUAUCCAACCUGCCCAUCACUUGGGAAUAACCUUGCGAAAGUAAGACUAAUGCCCAAUGAUAUCCCACGAAGGCACUCGCGCGGGAUUAAAGAUUUAUCGGUGAUGGAUGGGGAUGCGUCUGAGUAGCUUGUUGGCGGGGUAGCGGCCCACCAAGGCGACGAUCAGUAGGGGUUCUGAGAGGAAGGCCCCCCACAUUGGAACUGAGACACGGUCCAAACUCCUACGGGAGGCAGCAGUGAGGAAUAUCGGUCAAUGGGCGAGAGCCUGAACCAGCCAAGUAGCGUGCAGGAUGACGGCCCUAUGGGUUGUAAACUGCUUUUAUAAGGGAAUAAAGUGAGUCUCGUGAGACUUUUUGCAUGUACCUUAUGAAUAAGGACCGGCUAAUUCCGUGCCAGCAGACGCCGUAA